CCUACGGGAGGCAGCAGUGGGGAAUCUUGCGCAAUGCGCGAAAGCGUGACGCAGCAACACCGCGUGAGGGAAGACGGCCUUCGGGUUGUAAACCUCUUUCAGGAGGGACGAAGGCAGGCCGGUUAAUAGCCGUGCCGGCUGACGGUACCUCCACAAGAAGCACCGGCUAACUACGUGCCAGCAGCCGCGGUAAUACGUAGGGUGCAAGCGUUGUCCGGAAUCAUUGGGCGUAAAGCGCGCGUAGGCGGCCCGAUAAGUCCGCUGUAAAAGUCAACGGCUCAACUGUUGAAAGCCGGUGGAUACUGUCGGGCUAGAGUACGGAAGAGGCAAGUGGAAUUCCUGGUGUAGCGGUGGAAUGCGCAGAUAUCAGGAGGAACACCUAUAGCGAAGGCAGCUUGCUGGGACGUUACUGACGCUAAGGCGCGAAAGCGUGGGGAGCGAACAGGAUUAGAUACCCUGGUAGUCCACGCCGUAAACGAUGAGAACCUAGGUGUGGGAGGUGUCGACUCCUCCCGUGCCGUCGCUAACGCAUUAAGUUCUCCGCCUGGGGAGUACGGCCGCAAGGCUAAAACUCAAAUGAAUUGACGG
This 588-nucleotide ribosomal RNA is filed under the name uncultured bacterium. RNAcentral's name for it is "bacterial SSU rRNA". It matches the Rfam family "Bacterial small subunit ribosomal RNA", at positions 338 to 916 of the family's 1533-position model. The record is from RNAcentral.